Molecule: ribosomal RNA, 2271 nt
Filed under: Escherichia coli
Lineage: Bacteria; Pseudomonadati; Pseudomonadota; Gammaproteobacteria; Enterobacterales; Enterobacteriaceae
Description: partial 23S ribosomal RNA
Rfam family: Bacterial large subunit ribosomal RNA
Source: RNAcentral
GUUAAGUUGCAGGGUAUAGACCCGAAACCCGGUGAUCUAGCCAUGGGCAGGUUGAAGGUUGGGUAACACUAACUGGAGGACCGAACCGACUAAUGUUGAAAAAUUAGCGGAUGACUUGUGGCUGGGGGUGAAAGGCCAAUCAAACCGGGAGAUAGCUGGUUCUCCCCGAAAGCUAUUUAGGUAGCGCCUCGUGAAUUCAUCUCCGGGGGUAGAGCACUGUUUCGGCAAGGGGGUCAUCCCGACUUACCAACCCGAUGCAAACUGCGAAUACCGGAGAAUGUUAUCACGGGAGACACACGGCGGGUGCUAACGUCCGUCGUGAAGAGGGAAACAACCCAGACCGCCAGCUAAGGUCCCAAAGUCAUGGUUAAGUGGGAAACGAUGUGGGAAGGCCCAGACAGCCAGGAUGUUGGCUUAGAAGCAGCCAUCAUUUAAAGAAAGCGUAAUAGCUCACUGGUCGAGUCGGCCUGCGCGGAAGAUGUAACGGGGCUAAACCAUGCACCGAAGCUGCGGCAGCGACACUGUGUGUUGUUGGGUAGGGGAGCGUUCUGUAAGCCUGUGAAGGUGUGCUGUGAGGCAUGCUGGAGGUAUCAGAAGUGCGAAUGCUGACAUAAGUAACGAUAAAGCGGGUGAAAAGCCCGCUCGCCGGAAGACCAAGGGUUCCUGUCCAACGUUAAUCGGGGCAGGGUGAGUCGACCCCUAAGGCGAGGCCGAAAGGCGUAGUCGAUGGGAAACAGGUUAAUAUUCCUGUACUUGGUGUUACUGCGAAGGGGGGACGGAGAAGGCUAUGUUGGCCGGGCGACGGUUGUCCCGGUUUAAGCGUGUAGGCUGGUUUUCCAGGCAAAUCCGGAAAAUCAAGGCUGAGGCGUGAUGACGAGGCACUACGGUGCUGAAGCAACAAAUGCCCUGCUUCCAGGAAAAGCCUCUAAGCAUCAGGUAACAUCAAAUCGUACCCCAAACCGACACAGGUGGUCAGGUAGAGAAUACCAAGGCGCUUGAGAGAACUCGGGUGAAGGAACUAGGCAAAAUGGUGCCGUAACUUCGGGAGAAGGCACGCUGAUAUGUAGGUGAAGUCCCUCGCGGAUGGAGCUGAAAUCAGUCGAAGAUACCAGCUGGCUGCAACUGUUUAUUAAAAACACAGCACUGUGCAAACACGAAAGUGGACGUAUACGGUGUGACGCCUGCCCGGUGCCGGAAGGUUAAUUGAUGGGGUCAGCGCAAGCGAAGCUCUUGAUCGAAGCCCCGGUAAACGGCGGCCGUAACUAUAACGGUCCUAAGGUAGCGAAAUUCCUUGUCGGGUAAGUUCCGACCUGCACGAAUGGCGUAAUGAUGGCCAGGCUGUCUCCACCCGAGACUCAGUGAAAUUGAACUCGCUGUGAAGAUGCAGUGUACCCGCGGCAAGACGGAAAGACCCCGUGAACCUUUACUAUAGCUUGACACUGAACAUUGAGCCUUGAUGUGUAGGAUAGGUGGGAGGCUUUGAAGUGUGGACGCCAGUCUGCAUGGAGCCGACCUUGAAAUACCACCCUUUAAUGUUUGAUGUUCUAACGUGGACCCGUGAUCCGGGUUGCGGACAGUGUCUGGUGGGUAGUUUGACUGGGGCGGUCUCCUCCUAAAGAGUAACGGAGGAGCACGAAGGUUGGCUAAUCCUGGUCGGACAUCAGGAGGUUAGUGCAAUGGCAUAAGCCAGCUUGACUGCGAGCGUGACGGCGCGAGCAGGUGCGAAAGCAGGUCAUAGUGAUCCGGUGGUUCUGAAUGGAAGGGCCAUCGCUCAACGGAUAAAAGGUACUCCGGGGAUAACAGGCUGAUACCGCCCAAGAGUUCAUAUCGACGGCGGUGUUUGGCACCUCGAUGUCGGCUCAUCACAUCCUGGGGCUGAAGUAGGUCCCAAGGGUAUGGCUGUUCGCCAUUUAAAGUGGUACGCGAGCUGGGUUUAGAACGUCGUGAGACAGUUCGGUCCCUAUCUGCCGUGGGCGCUGGAGAACUGAGGGGGGCUGCUCCUAGUACGAGAGGACCGGAGUGGACGCAUCACUGGUGUUCGGGUUGUCAUGCCAAUGGCACUGCCCGGUAGCUAAAUGCGGAAGAGAUAAGUGCUGAAAGCAUCUAAGCACGAAACUUGCCCCGAGAUGAGUUCUCCCUGACCCUUUAAGGGUCCUGAAGGAACGUUGAAGACGACGACGUUGAUAGGCCGGGUGUGUAAGCGCAGCGAUGCGUUGAGCUAACCGGUACUAAUGAACCGUGAGGCUUAACCUUACAACGCCGAAGGUGUUU